UGCACCCACACCCCCUCAAAAACCCAGUCUCAAAGAAACUUUGCAAUCUUUCAUGCAAGGUCAAGCAAAAAUCAAUGAUGAAAUAAGAAAUCAACUGACAACGCUGACCACUGCUUUAAAUGCUCAAGAGAAGGGUAAGCUACCAGCUCAACCACAACCUAACCUUCAAGUCUACGGCGGUAGCAAUGCAUCAUCUUCAACUUCGCAUAAAGAACAAGCGAAGAGUAUAAUAACUUUGCGAAGUGGA
This 247-nucleotide long non-coding RNA is filed under the name Phoenix dactylifera (date palm). RNAcentral's name for it is "long non-coding RNA (PDAC_LNC014919)". Lineage: Eukaryota; Viridiplantae; Streptophyta; Magnoliopsida; Arecales; Arecaceae. The record is from RNAcentral.